Molecule: ribosomal RNA, 392 nt
Filed under: uncultured bacterium
Lineage: Bacteria
Description: partial 16S ribosomal RNA
Rfam family: Bacterial small subunit ribosomal RNA
Source: RNAcentral
AUCCGGAGGAUCCGAGCGUUAUCCGGAUUCAUUGGGUUUAAAGGGUGCGCAGGCGGCCAUAUAAGUCAGCGGUUAAAUCGUGGGGCUCAACCCCACUCUGUCGUUGAUACUGGGUGGCUUGAUUGCGGUCGAGGUUGGCGGAAUUCGUUGUGUAGCGGUGAAAUGCAUAGAUAUGACGAAGAAUACCGAUUGCGUAGGCAGCUGACCAGGCCGCAAAUGACGCUCAUGCACGAAAGUGCGGGGAUCGAACAGGAUUAGAUACCCUGGUAGUCCGCACAGUAAACGAUGAAUACUUGUUUUCGGCGAUAUAAUGUCGGAGGCAAAGCGAAAGCGAUAAGUAUUCCACCUGGGGAGUACGCCGGCAACGGUGAAACUCAAAUGAAUUGACGGGG